AACGAACGCUGGCGGCAGGCCUAACACAUGCAAGUCGAGCGAGGACUUCGGUCCUAGCGGCGGACGGGUGAGUAACGCGUGGGAACGUGCCCUUUGCUUCGGAAUAGCCCUGGGAAACUGGGAGUAAUACCGGAUGAGCCCUUUGGGGGAAAGAUUUAUCGUCGAAGGAUCGGCCCGCGUUGGAUUAGGUAGUUGGUGGGGUAAUGGCCUACCAAGCCGACGAUCCAUAGCUGGUUUGAGAGGAUGAUCAGCCACACUGGGACUGAGACACGGCCCAGACUCCUACGGGAGGCAGCAGUGGGGAAUCUUAGACAAUGGGGGAAACCCUGAUCUAGCCAUGCCGCGUGAGCGAUGAAGGCCUUAGGGUUGUAAAGCUCUUUCAGCUGGGAAGAUAAUGACGGUACCAGCAGAAGAAGCCCCGGCUAACUCCGUG
Molecule: ribosomal RNA, 433 nt
Filed under: uncultured bacterium
Lineage: Bacteria
Description: partial 16S ribosomal RNA
Rfam family: Bacterial small subunit ribosomal RNA
Source: RNAcentral